UCCCUUAUAGCUCAGUUGGUAAAGAAUCUGCCUGCAAUGCAGGAGACCCGGGUUCGAUCCCUGAGUGGGGAA
RNAcentral lists this transfer RNA (72 nucleotides) under Ovis aries (sheep). It matches the Rfam family "tRNA". From Rfam's summary of the family: Transfer RNA (tRNA) molecules are approximately 80 nucleotides in length. Their secondary structure includes four short double-helical elements and three loops (D, anti-codon, and T loops). Lineage: Eukaryota; Metazoa; Chordata; Mammalia; Artiodactyla; Bovidae. The record is from Rfam by way of RNAcentral.